GGGAAUGUUUCUAUUGAUGAUUAUUAAAGUUCAUUAUCAAUCUGGAAACCGUAGGAGGUGAAAUGCUUAGGAUUUUAGAAAAGAUGAAAGAAGAUCUACGUCGAAUCCUCUUAUUUUAAUUAAACGAUGAGUUUCGACAAAACUCGACAGGUGUCACCGCUGCAAAGUGUGACUUAUCUAUGUGGCACGCCUACGUGGGUGAAGGAGAAGAGAUUAAACAGUCUUUUAUAUAUAAAGAUGUGUGUGUGUGUUUCCGAGCCCAUUAAUUUAUGGUACAAUAUAUUAUGUGUAAAAUAUAUU
This 300-nucleotide long non-coding RNA is filed under the name Brassica napus (rape). RNAcentral's name for it is "long non-coding RNA (BNAP_LNC009510)". Lineage: Eukaryota; Viridiplantae; Streptophyta; Magnoliopsida; Brassicales; Brassicaceae. The record is from RNAcentral.